MicroRNA precursor from Oryza rufipogon (brownbeard rice), 208 nucleotides. It matches the Rfam family "MIR812 microRNA precursor family". Lineage: Eukaryota; Viridiplantae; Streptophyta; Magnoliopsida; Poales; Poaceae. The record is from Rfam.
AAAAAGACAAACCCUAAGUUUCUGUGUCUAAUGUUUGACUGUCCGUCUUAUAUGAAAUUUUUUUAUGAUUAGUAUUUUCAUUGUUGUUAGAUGAUAAAACAUGAUUAAUACUUUAUGCGUGACUUACCUUUUUAUUUUUUUUUCAUAAUUUUUUCAAAUAAGACGGACGGCCAAAUGCUGGACACGGAAACUCAGGGUUUGCCUUUUU